Nylanderia fulva is the source of this 1016-nucleotide non-coding RNA. The record is from RefSeq and is a predicted model, not a curated record. NCBI's taxonomy places the organism in Eukaryota, Metazoa, Arthropoda, Insecta, Hymenoptera, Formicidae.
UUCGGGAGUGCCGUGUAAAGUAUCGCGCGUCGGGAGUGCCGUGUAAAGUGUCGGGCGAUUGUAAUUAAUCAUAUUUUCGCGAGUGUCGUGAGUGUUCCAAGAGAGGAGGAGGAGGCCCAGGGAGGCAUCGGGCAACAGCGGGACAACUGCGAGAUCAUCAUGUACUGCGUACUUCAACUCCGUAUUGUACGUAUUGAAAUCUUACACGUCCGGAUCUGAAUGCAGUAGCGGACAUGAAUGCAAUGGAGCACCUUCGACGUGAAGGAUAGCAUUGCUGAUAAGCGACGCGCGAGUGUGACUGCGAGAGAUUCUCGACGUUGCUUCGUGCGGUUGUAGUUUUCGCAUCGUUUUUUUUUCAUUGCGCAAUGUACGCGAAAUACGCGUUGUAUCGGGAGUGCCGUGCAAAGUGCCGCGCGUCGGGAGUGUCGUAUAAAAUUUCGCGUGUCGGGAGUGUCGUGUAAAGUGUCGGGCGAUCGUAAUUAUUCGUGUUUUCGCGAGUGUCGUGGGUGCUUCCAAAGACGAGGAGAGGAGGAGGAGGCCUGAGGAGGCAUCGGGUGACAGCGGGGCAACUAUAAGGUAAGAUUGCUGCGCGCGAGUUUGCAAGAUUUUUGCAUUAUUUUUCCUUAUUAGGUGGUGUACGCGAAAUAUGCGUGCGAUUCACGCAUCGGGAGUGUCGUCCAAAUAAAUGUCGGGCGAUCGAAAUUAUCCGUGUUUUUCGCGAAUAUCGUAAGUGUUACGGAAAAGCAAUGUCGGUCGCGCGAGAUUGACUACGAAAGAUUCUCGGCGUUGCUUCGUGCGAUUGUAGUUCUCGCAUCGUUUCUUCUCAUUGCGCAAUGUACGCGAAAUACGCGUGCGGUUCACGCGUCGUGUCGGGAGUGCCGUGUAAAGUGUUGGGAAUCGGCGAUCGACCAAGAGAGGAGGACAGGCCAGAGGAGGUAUAUCGAGCGAUAACGAGUUAACUGUGAGAUCAACAUGCUGCACACUUCAACUCUGCUGUUGCACGUGGGGACAUCGGU